RNAcentral lists this ribosomal RNA (234 nucleotides) under uncultured bacterium. Its description in RNAcentral is "partial 16S ribosomal RNA". It matches the Rfam family "Bacterial small subunit ribosomal RNA", at positions 120 to 354 of the family's 1533-position model. The record is from RNAcentral.
AGCAAUCUGCCUUGGAGUGGGGAAUAACGGUUGGAAACAGCCGCUAAUACCGCAUGAUGCAUUGGAGUCGCAUGAUUUUGAUGCCAAAGAUUUAUCGCUCUGAGAUGAGCUCGCGUCUGAUUAGCUAGUUGGCGGGGUAACGGCCCACCAAGGCGACGAUCAGUAACCGGACUGAGAGGUUGGCCGGCCACAUUGGGACUGAGACACGGCCCAGACUCCUACGGGAGGCAGCAG